UCCAUUUUAUCCAAGUUAAAUUCUAGUGAUUUGAUGCUCCAAAUGAAAACAUAAUUAAAUUUGAUCCGAAGUGAGAUUAUCAGUUAAAACUAUUAGUUUACGGAAGCCAACAUGAUAUUAGUGGAUUAACGACAGAGAGAGAAUGUAUUAUCUUCGACCAAACUGCAUAGUACUUUCUUUGACCGGUGUUCCGACGAAAGAAGGACGUCGCUGCUUUUGGGUUUUGGAUUCUCUCAAAGCUGGCUCCUUUUAGCAUGCUAGCCGUCAUGAUCAUCUCCUGAGCUCUGCGGCUGGUCUGUUGCAACUGCCAAGUGAUCUGACCCAGCAUUCCACACUAAAUGUUGCAUUGCUUGAAUGAGAGCCGCUGGAUUUCGAGUAGCAGAUUACGGCAAUCGAUGGAACUCGGUAAAAUACCAUUGCGUAGCAGCAUAAGGUCCUUACCAUUCGUUUCCACAAUUGACGGCAAUUAGAUAAUACAUCAGAAAUAUAUAAAUGUAGAAUCCUCAGAUGGCCCUGUAGCUGUCAUCGAUCGGUAUCAUUGAAUUGCGUUAAUUGCAAGAUCGUUACCAUCAUUUCAAUCAUCAAUGAAUUGAUAACACCAUCGACAAAUCAACUUUCAACGCUUGAACAAGAAUACACCAAGGAAUAAACUAAUUCAUGACUGCCAACACUAUCAGAUCGUGGAUUAUUAUGCAACAAACAACAAGAACGCAGACUCAAUAUCAGGAUAGUUUGUAGUGAUACGAUUGAUUCCGCAAUUGUUAAAUUAUGACGUUUUGUAGUUCUAAUAGAUCGUUGGUUUGAUGGAAUCUUGCCUAUACGUCCACGCUGGAUCUUACCAUGCACGCCAUAUUAUACGAGUGUCUAUCAAGCUGGUCAACUAUUCAAUAAAACUUUAAAAUCACCUCAAAUAUUGCCAUAACAUAACACAUUUUGAAAUAUCCAUAUUUUCUAAACUACUUUCUUAUUAAAAUUGUUUGCAAUUUGGCAGAAAUUAUCUCCUUGAACAGAAAAUUACUUUUAUAUGGCAUUUAUAGUGCAAGCUAUUAUAUCACACGAUGUAAAAGGUUACAUUUUUUUUUGGGAAUAUUGCACAUGACUCUUGAUGACAAAAUUCGUUGUCUGGAAUUACAUAUUGAAGUUUGCUUAGGAACACCUCUGCUUAGUACUUAAACCAGGGAGCACCGCUUAAGAGUUAAGGCUCUGUCUCAUUUGGAGAAUUAAACUGAAAUUAAACUUAAAAGUGACAUUUCAAUAAUUAUCAAAUAACCCUGCUCGCAGAGCAAGAUUACUUUUGACAGAUAUUGAAUCAUUUUGCAUCGAUGUCUUAUUGGAAUUACUGGGUAGCACCAGCCAUUUUUAUGACUGGGUUAUGUGCUAAUUUUCGAACUGUCACUUUUAAGUUUAAUUCUCCAAAUGAGACAGAGCCUAAGUGAAGGUGAAUAAAUUGGCCCUAAGUGGGGUGUCUACAUGUCAUAAGAUAAAGUAGUACAUACUAUUCAAUUUAACUGUACUACUUGAUUGAAACUUUACAGAAAAAAAUGUUCAACUUCAACAACAAAGCCGGCUAAUUUCCAUUACCAACACCGUUCCCGGGCUUUGCUGUUGAUGUCGAAACACAUUACUGUACAAUGUUACAAUCAAGUAGUAGAGUUUAAUGUAAUAGUAUUUAUUUAUACUUAUUUAUUAAAUUUAAAUUGAUGUUUUUCUAUGGUAAAACAAUAAAUAAAAAGUAUGAAAAACAUAAGAAGAACAUUUGUUUCUAUUGUUUAAAUGGUGAAAAUCAUCUAAUAGAAGUACAGUAAAAUGAGUUGUUUUGGUCUGAAUUUUGUAUGGAAAAUUUUCAUUUUUUUUAUUGUAAAGAUACGUAACAACCCCUAUAAUCUAUUGUAAAAGUC
Molecule: long non-coding RNA, 1898 nt
Organism: Armigeres subalbatus
Lineage: Eukaryota; Metazoa; Arthropoda; Insecta; Diptera; Culicidae
Exons: 3
Source: RefSeq, a predicted model, not a curated record